ACAGCAAUAUCACGUUUAAACACCGGUUCCGUACGGUCACGGAAAUUAAGCAACGCCGUGCCUGGUCAAUACUUAGAUGGGUGACCUCUUGCGAAUACCAGGUGCUAU
Non-coding RNA from Acanthosepion pharaonis, 108 nucleotides. Lineage: Eukaryota; Metazoa; Mollusca; Cephalopoda; Sepiida; Sepiidae. The record is from the annotation of a GenBank genome assembly.